This 237-nucleotide long non-coding RNA is filed under the name Elaeis guineensis (African oil palm). RNAcentral's name for it is "long non-coding RNA (EGUI_LNC071274)". The record is from RNAcentral. Lineage: Eukaryota; Viridiplantae; Streptophyta; Magnoliopsida; Arecales; Arecaceae.
UCAUCAUUUCAAGGCACUGUCCAUGGGAGUCUAUGAUGGCAUAACUCCUAUGACCAUUUGGAGAGUUUCAAGGCCCUUAUAUUGUUGCAAGGGGCCUCAGACAUGCUAUUUGGUAAGUCCUUCCCUACCACUUUUCAAGGUGCUACUCAAGCCUCAUACACAAGGCUCCCACCAAGCUCUAUCCAUUCCUUUAAAGAGUUUGGCUGUCAAUUCGCUGCUCAGUUUUAGAGUAGCCGA